CUAAGGGAGUCUCGGCCCUGGAAAAGGGUGAGUACAUAUAUUUUAAAGAAGGUGGGGGGGCCUCCCUUGGAAUAUCAUACGCAGUACUGGAGAAUGUAUCUCCAGAAGGAUACUGAUACCUAGCAGAGAGUUCAGAGAAGGGCUACUAAGCUGGUUCAUGAAUUUCAGGAUAAAACUGACCAGGAGGAAAGACGAGACAGGGGUGAUAUGAUAGAAACAUUUAAAUACAUAAAGGGAAUCAACACAGUAAAGGAGACUAUAUUUAAAAGAAGAAAAACUACCACAACAAGAGGACAUAGUCUUAAAUUAUAGGGGCAAAGGUUUAAAAAUAUCAGGAAUUAUUACUUUACUGAGUGGGUAGUGGAUGCAUGGAAUAGCCUUCUGGCUGAAGUGGUAGAGGAUAACACAGUAAAGGAGUUGAAACAUGCGUGGGAUAGGCAUAAGGCUAUCCUAACUUUAAGAUAAGGCCAGGGACUAAUGAAAGUAUUUAGAAAAUUGGGCAGACUAGAUGGGCCGAAUGGUUUCUGUUAGGAAUACAGGUUUGUAUUCCUAUUCUAUAUUGUUUAUUUAACCAUUUAAUAUCAUUAAUACCUAUGCUCAAUACUUCCAGUAGGUACAAAAUGAAAAUAAGAAUGCACACUCCAUUUAAUUGUCAAUAUUAUAUUUCAAGUGAAUGCAUCUUUUUUCCCCCCUAAUAGAGUAAACAUUCAGAGUAUAACAUUGUAAGAUUUUUCAGGCUAGUAUAAAAAACAUUAAUACUUUUUUAUUACAUACAUGUAAAACAUGAAUUAUGAUAAAGCCAAACCUCCAUUUUAGACUCCCAUAAUUUCACAACAGAGGCUCAUCACCAUUUUGCUACUGGGAGGUCUUUGGAUUUACAAAAAAAUAUUUAACCUUUUUAGUGCACACCCCUCCUGCACUGAACAGGUUAAAAUGACCAGGUAGCUGUGAGGUUUUGAUUUAAAGGAACACUAUAGUCACCUAAAUUACUUUAGCUAAAUAA
Pelobates cultripes (western spadefoot toad) is the source of this 1003-nucleotide non-coding RNA. The record is from the annotation of a GenBank genome assembly. NCBI's taxonomy places the organism in Eukaryota, Metazoa, Chordata, Amphibia, Anura, Pelobatidae.